GCCGCGGUAGCUCAGCGGGAGAGCGUCCGGCUGAAGACCGGAAGGUCCCGGGUUCAAAUCCCGGCCGCGGCACCA
RNAcentral lists this transfer RNA (75 nucleotides) under Thermofilum sp. RNAcentral describes it as "tRNA-Phe". It matches the Rfam family "tRNA". Rfam says of the family: Transfer RNA (tRNA) molecules are approximately 80 nucleotides in length. The record is from RNAcentral. Lineage: Archaea; Thermoproteati; Thermoproteota; Thermoprotei; Thermofilales; Thermofilaceae.